GUCUUUGGCAAAGGCUCCCAUUGGGUUCAGGAGGGGACUGAGGUGCACGGUUACCUGACAGCUCUCUCUCAGCUCCUUUGGAAUUGCAAUUAAAUGCACUGUCUAGGGAACAGCUUGGAGUCAAAGUCUGAAAACUCAGUCCUAGAGGAACAAAAUGUGCACUAGCAGCAAUAUCUUAGAAAGCGAGAGAGAUCUUUCCAGUCACAAAAGCAGCGUUAUUGCUACAUAAGCCCAAAAAAACACAACAGACAAACAAACUGCAAGUGACAUUUCACUGUAGUUACUGAGACCAUGUGGGUGAAGUGACAGCAGCAAUGCAGCUGGCUCCGCGGGGACACGUUAGAGGACACUGAAGAAGAAGAGGGUGCAGGCAUACAGAGAAGUCGAAAGCGGCCCACCUGAGUCUGUUGAGGGAUAUUUACAAAGCUUGGAUCCCGUGGUCCAACACUGACGAAUCGGUUUGCGGGGGAGGUGCUGGGUGUCGAGUAGGUUGGAGAAGUGGGAGAGGUGGCCCCUCCUUCUGUUGAUGUAGUUGGAGGUUUUGUGUCUGGCACUGGCAGAGGCACAGGCCUAGCCAUUGGUGGCGGAGGUGGUGGUGGCAACAUUGGGGUAGGAAGGAAUGGAUUGUGCACCUUGCCUUGGCUGCUACCAUUGGG
RNAcentral lists this long non-coding RNA (656 nucleotides) under Gallus gallus (chicken). Lineage: Eukaryota; Metazoa; Chordata; Aves; Galliformes; Phasianidae. The record is from RNAcentral.